AUGACUAAGAAAGGAAUGGAUGUACCUCCAUUUGCAACAGAAGAACAUUCCCCGCUUAAGGACCUAAGGAACACAGCUAUGGAUGGGAGUGCAAAUCUCAAGGAUAAUCAAACCAAUAAUCCUAAUACUAAUGAUCCUAAAAGGAAAAGUGUUCAAUCAUGGUAUGCUAGAAUGUCAGAUGAGAAGAAAGCGGAAUACAACGUGAAGCGUCGUACAUGUGUGACCUCGGCCUCAAUCUCUGCAAAUACACCUCAAAUGCACACUUCAGUUAGUCACAGUAAAGUGUCUUCUGUUUCUGCAGAUACACAAGUUGGUGUAGUCACACAUCAUCUUCAAUUUCUGUUAUCCAUAUCACUGCUCUUGGCCAUUGUUGGCAUCAUCAACACCGAGCACCAACGACAAGAGCCCAGUGGUGAACGAGGCCAAGAGAAUCCUGAGAAGCUGCAGCUGAAAGUAGCACUGGAGGUGGUGCCUGGGAGAAGCAGUGCAGGCAGUGGCCUAGAGGAGCGGAAGAGGUGUCUGGGACGAGCAUAG
RNAcentral lists this ribosomal RNA (534 nucleotides) under Triticum aestivum (bread wheat). RNAcentral describes it as "partial small subunit ribosomal RNA". The record is from RNAcentral. Lineage: Eukaryota; Viridiplantae; Streptophyta; Magnoliopsida; Poales; Poaceae.